GUAGCAGUUUGAGAUGCAUGCAUGCUUUAUAACUCGUGUCUACGCUUUCUGGUUAAAUGGGCUUCCUUUGGAAAUGACCACAGAUGGCAAGGACAUUCAUGGAUAAUGGUGAUAAAAAACAAUAUAGUGCUGGCACAAAACAGAUGCCCUGAUCAAUGGGAUAGAUUUGAGGAUCCAGAUAUAAGUCCAUGCAACUACAGUUAACUGAUUUUUGACAAAGAUGCCAGAUACAUAUACAAGAGAAAAGGCAGAAUCUUCAAGUAGUGCUGGGGAAAGUGGAUGUCAACAUGUAAGAGGAUGAAACUACAUCCUUAUCCCUCAGCCCACACAAAACUCACCUCCAGAUGGAUCAAGGAGUUCAACAGAAGCCGGGUGCCCAGGAAGUGCUGGGGGAAAAGGUAGAGGCUGUACUUCCACUUGCAGGCAUGGGGAAGGCCGCUCCAAGUAAGACUGAUAGCACAGGAAAGCCAACAACUGACAAAUAGGGUCUCAUAGAACAGAACAGCUUCUGAACAACUGUGAAACAGGGAAUAGCAGCCCACACAGUGGGAGAAAGUCUUCGCCAGCUACCAGCUGAUAGAAAAUUAGUGUCCAUACUGUACCAGGAACUCUGGGAGAAAGUCUUCACCAGCUAUCAGCCAAUAGAAAAUUAGUGUCCAUACUGUACCCGGAACUCUGGGAGAAAGUCUUCACCGGCUAUCAGCCAAUAGAAAAUUAGUGUCCAUACUGUACCGGGAACUCAAAAAACUAGACAUUAAGAAAACAAGUAACAUCUAGAAAGUUGACUGCAGAACUGAGCAGAAAAUUCUUGAAAGGAAUGUCCAGGAAAUAUUUUUUUAAAUGUGAUCAGCAAGCUGGGGAUGGUGGUACAUGUCUCUAAUCACAAUUCUCAGGAGGCUGAGGCAGGUGGAUCUCUGUGAGUUCAAGGCUAGCCUGAUCUACAGAGCAAGUUCCAGGACAGCCAGACUAUAUAGAGGAAACUAUUUUUUAAAAAAGUGCUCAGCAGUCUUAGCCAUUAGGGAAACACAAUUAAAAUGUCUUGAAGAUUCUGUCUCACCAGUCAGAAUGGUCAUCAUGAAGAAGCCAAGUGACAACAAACAGCAAAUUCUGGUUGCUUUCAGUCAUGGUGUGUCUCACAACAACAGAGAAGUCAACUACAAUGAGGUGCCAAAGAUUCUGCCCAGAGAGCACACUGACCCAAGUUCUCUCUGGGCAUGGUGGCCGGUGAGAACACUUCUGGAAGCUACAUUGUUCUUCUCUGCACGAGAGUCCCUCUUAACAGAUUACCAUCUCAGAGCAGUUACCUGACACAGCCAGUUAAAUUCUGGCAGCCCUGAGUCUACACAGGGACAUGAAGGAGAGCACGACACACAGAGGCCUGACAGGCUGUGUGUGCAAUCAGACGCACUUCUGUUUGGUGAAAAUGUUCAGACAGGAAUGUUUGUUCGAUUUUAUGAACUUUUCCAACCGUCCACCUCCUAAUAAAUUAUUAAUAGGCCACACAUGAGAUGCAGUGUCUUAGCUACAUUCACAUCACUGUGGCUACAGCACCAACAGGAAUGAUAUAGACAAAGAAGGACGGAUUUGGGCUCUGUUCUUUGGGAGUUCAUGGAGGCAGGAGGGUGUGGCAGAGGCUGUUCACAUCACAGCUGACCAGGAGGCAGAGCAACCAGCAAGAAUGGGCUAGAACCUCCAAAGGCUUGCUUCUAAUGACCCACUGCUACCAGCUAGACCCCCUCUUUAAGGUUCCACAGCCCCCUCUAAAUAGUGGCAGCAGUUGGGUGCAGCAGUUCAAAGCAUGAGCCUGCUGAGGACAAUUUAGAUUCUAAUCCUAAUAGUAACCCUUCCUUUAAUCUCUCAGAUGCCUUAAACCCUCAGUGUGGAGACAAGAUUUGGAAGACAAGAUGGCUUUGGACCUGACCUGGCUGGGGCCAUGAGGAAGAGAUAGGAAGAGAUAACAGACGCACAUACAGAAAAGCUGGGGCACGGUUGGCUGUGCACUUGGAUGGAGCCAUAGAAUGUGACUGGAAACAAAUUAAUAUGAACAGCAUGGAUGCGGAGGUGGGCGAGCCGAUCUUGGUUCAGGUCUCUGUGGAGGAGCAGUCCCAGGCUGCAGUCAUCAAGAAGGAGGGAGCUUUUGUGGUUGAUGCUUUCUGCACAUGCUCUCAACAUUUGUACUUGGACCAGGGGAAUACACAUUCACUCUGGACUUCAUCAGCUUCCCACAGUGAAAACAGCAGUCAGGGAAAAGUGAGUCAUCAUUAUCAGCAGAUGUUCUCUUCAUGUGGAUAUGUAAUCUAGCUUGCCUUGUGAUCAUGCAGCCUCAGUGCCCUGCCCCAGUGCUGGAUUACAGGUGAACAUUACCAUGCCUGGUUCAGACUUUUCUUACCACCCCUUCUGCCUUAGGGUUUCUAUUGUGAUAAAACAUCAUGAUGGAAAGCAA
Molecule: long non-coding RNA, 2443 nt
Organism: Peromyscus eremicus (cactus mouse)
Lineage: Eukaryota; Metazoa; Chordata; Mammalia; Rodentia; Cricetidae
Exons: 2
Source: RefSeq, a predicted model, not a curated record